This is a long non-coding RNA of Lycium barbarum (goji berry), 424 nucleotides long. RefSeq lists it as uncharacterized. The transcript is spliced from 2 exons. The record is from RefSeq and is a predicted model, not a curated record. Lineage: Eukaryota; Viridiplantae; Streptophyta; Magnoliopsida; Solanales; Solanaceae.
UCAUUUUGCAACAAAAACAUUUAGGGGCUAGGGUUAACCCUAGCGCCGCUCCUGUUCCACCACCUACCCGCCCCUGUUCUUGGUUAUGUCCCAUCGGUUGGAGGCGUAAUAUGUGGAGGAGAGGACGAAGCAUUAAAAGCUUCGUCCUUCUCUCACCAGAAAACGUCCAAACAAGCCCUUAUGUCAACACCAGCCUCAAAGGCCCAAUAGGACUUCUAUUCAAAUUAGGAUCGAGUCCGCAAAGGAAAUAAUAGCGAGGCGAGCAGAAGGCCGAGUCAUGGGUGAAAAUGGCCAACUAGGGGCUUGGUACGCCCCUAAUCUAUCUCUCCUCGUCAUUGUUUUUUUAUAUAUGUUCAAGUCAAUGUAUUUGUAAAAUUUGUAUUAAACUCAUAUUAUAAUGGAACCUUAUGGUUUGAACUAGCCA